AACGAACGCUGGCGGCAGGCUUAACACAUGCAAGUCGAACGCAUCCUUCGGGGUGAGUGGCAGACGGGUGAGUAACGCGUGGGAACGUGCCCUUCAGUUCGGGAUAACCCAGGGAAACUUGGGCUAAUACCGGAUACGUGCGAGAGCAGAAAGAUUUAUCGCUGAAGGAUCGGCCCGCGUCUGAUUAGCUAGUUGGUGGGGUAAUGGCCCACCAAGGCGACGAUCAGUAGCUGGUCUGAGAGGAUGAUCAGCCACAUUGGGACUGAGACACGGCCCAACCUCCUACGGGGGGAAGCAGUGGGAAAUAUGGGAAAAUGGGCGAAAGCCUGACCCAGCCAUGCGGCGUGAGUGAUGAAGGCUUUAGGGUUGAAAAGCUCUUUCGUCCGGGACGAUAAUGACGGUACCGGAAGAAGAAGCCCCGGCUAACUUCGUGCCAGCCGCCGCCGUAA
Molecule: ribosomal RNA, 449 nt
Filed under: uncultured bacterium
Lineage: Bacteria
Description: partial 16S ribosomal RNA
Rfam family: Bacterial small subunit ribosomal RNA
Source: RNAcentral